This 249-nucleotide ribosomal RNA is filed under the name Triticum aestivum (bread wheat). RNAcentral describes it as "partial small subunit ribosomal RNA". Lineage: Eukaryota; Viridiplantae; Streptophyta; Magnoliopsida; Poales; Poaceae. The record is from RNAcentral.
AUGGCGUCCCCUCGCCGCAUGUCCGCGGCGCCCGCCGCCCUCCUCAUCCUGCUCCUCCUCGUCGCCAUGGAGAUGGGGACGAUGAAGGUGGCAGAAGCACGGACAUGCCAGUCAAAGAGCCACAAAUUCAAGGGCGGCUGCUUCAGCGACAGCAACUGCACCAGCAUGUGCCACACCGAGAACUUCCCCCGCGGGCAAUGCCACCAGCAUUACGUCGAGCCCAAGUGCUACUGCGAGCGGGAUUGCUGA